UCCUGUCUGAAUAUGGGGGGACCAUCCUCCAAGGCUAAAUACUCCUGACUGACCGAUAGUGAACCAGUACCGUGAGGGAAAGGCGAAAAGAACCCCGGCGAGGGGAGUGAAAAAGAACCUGAAACCGUGUACGUACAAGCAGUGGGAGCACAGGUUUACCUGUGUGACUGCGUACCUUUUGUAUAAUGGGUCAGCGACUUAUAUUCUGUAGCAAGGUUAACCGAAUAGGGGAGCCGGAGGGAAACCGAGUCUUAAUUGGGCGUUAAGUUGCAGGGUAUAGACCCGAAACCCGGUGAUCUAGCCAUGGGCAGGUUGAAGGUUGGGUAACACUAACUGGAGGACCGAACCGACUAAUGUUGAAAAAUUAGCGGAUGACCUGUGGCUGGGGGUGAAAGGCCAAUCAAACCGGGAGAUAGCUGGUUCUCCCCGAAAGCUAUUUAGGUAGCGCCUCGUGAAUUCAUCUCCGGGGGUAGAGCACUGUUUCGGCUAGGGGGCCAUCCCGGCUUACCAACCCGAUGCAAACUGCGAAUACCGGAGAAUGUUAUCACGGGAGACACACGGCGGGUGCUAACGUCCGUCGUGAAGAGGGAAACAACCCAGACCGCCAGCUAAGGUCCCAAAGUCAUGGUUAAGUGGGAAACGAUGUGGGAAGGCCCAGACAGCCAGGAUGUUGGCUUAGAAGCAGCCAUCAUUUAAAGAAAGCGUAAUAGCUCACUGGUCGAGUCGGCCUGCGCGGAAGAUGUAACGGGGCUAAACCAUG
This 760-nucleotide ribosomal RNA is filed under the name Salmonella enterica subsp. enterica serovar Chester. RNAcentral's name for it is "partial 23S ribosomal RNA". It matches the Rfam family "Bacterial large subunit ribosomal RNA", at positions 432 to 1191 of the family's 2925-position model. RNAcentral also lists the same sequence under 1 other name. The record is from RNAcentral. Lineage: Bacteria; Pseudomonadati; Pseudomonadota; Gammaproteobacteria; Enterobacterales; Enterobacteriaceae.